UAUGUCAGGAGCUUAGAAAUUUCCUGUUUUAAUUUCAUAUAUAUAUAUAUAUAUAUAUAACCUGUGUGGAAGAGUAGAUCCACUUAGAGAAUGGUAGUUGUGAGAAAUCAUAACUAGACUCUUCAGGAAAUUUUUGCUUAAGGAGAAGUCACGACAUCAACACUGUUUCAGAAAGAAGUGUACAGAAGAGCUUUGUGCACUUAUUUGUUUGUACUAUGCAAUAUUCUGCCUUCUGCUGCAUUUUGUGCUGCACUGCAGCAAUUUAUGUUCUCAGAGACAGCACAACACCUGCAGGAGCCUCCGAACAACAUCAGGGGAAUUCCAGUCAUUGUGACGCAUCUCCUGAAACCAUUUUCUAGAUAUUCCUUCCAUGAGUUGCUUCCAUCAGGAACUUCCAUAGAAUUUGGCAGCCUAGAAGAUGGACAUUUGACAGGCCACAAUAGACUGCUCCUUUCCCAGGUAUCUCCUGCUUGUUUCCUUUAUCUGUGAAUAGGAAAUGGCUUAAAGGCACCUGUGUUAUGAAGGUCCCAGGGGCAGCUGCCUGACUAGUGAAUGCCUGAUUAUGUGUUAACAUGCUUUGUCAGAUAUUGGCAGAAUCUGUUCUCUUCUUUUGCCUUUUCAGCAAGGGUACCAUUGACAGACUGGCUACCCAUUUAUAGAAAUGUUGUCCAUCAAACUGUGAGGAAGGACAAUGGUGUUUUUCUGUGACCAGUGACUGUGGGAAACUUUUCUUUGGCUAUUCAGGCAAUUUUUGUAGCUUGCUCUGAAGAGGAGAGACUGAUGAGUGCAAAAAGUACAAUUAAGCAAAGCCAGACUUCAAUUGAAGGCUGUAGUGUAGUCUGCUUGUUCUCAUUUUUUAUUUGGAAAAAAAUCUAUGGGUUUUCACGUUGCUGUGUGGCAUUCAGCGGGGGGCUAUUACAAUCCUAAAUUUUUUUUCUAGACCACCUAAUUCUAAGUAAAAAUUAAAUGUAAUGAGAGCCACUUGGAGUUCUGAAUAUUUUAAAGCAUAAUUCCCACAGAAGGGAUUCGACCUAAACUGUGGAGAGCAUCAGUUGGCUAAUUAUAGCUGCAUUUUAUAUUACAGCAGGUGUCAGAUGCAGUCAUCUCAAUAAAGUCCACAUAAUACUCUGAAAAAUAACA
RNAcentral lists this long non-coding RNA (1140 nucleotides) under Manacus vitellinus (golden-collared manakin). Its description in RNAcentral is "lncRNA (ENSMVIG00005002484.1)". The record is from RNAcentral. Lineage: Eukaryota; Metazoa; Chordata; Aves; Passeriformes; Pipridae.